RNAcentral lists this transfer RNA (71 nucleotides) under Marmota monax (woodchuck). RNAcentral describes it as "tRNA.Ala". The record is from RNAcentral. Lineage: Eukaryota; Metazoa; Chordata; Mammalia; Rodentia; Sciuridae.
GGGGUUGUGGCUCAGUGGUAUAGCACUUGCCUAGCGCAUGCAAGGCCCUGAAUUCGAUCCUCAGCACCACA